This 69-nucleotide transfer RNA is filed under the name Sphaerodactylus townsendi. RNAcentral describes it as "tRNA-Tyr". Lineage: Eukaryota; Metazoa; Chordata; Lepidosauria; Squamata; Sphaerodactylidae. The record is from RNAcentral.
AUUGUGGCUGAAUGGUAAAGCAUCUGCUUAUAUUGCAGAAGGUCCCAGGUUGAAUCUCUAGCUGAAAGG